CAAGACGGGGCACGAAACCACCGUCAUGGUCCCCCGACCCCUUGCUUCCCCUCUCACUGUUUCUCCUCCGGCACAAUGCUGCGCACUGUCCUUCUCCUCGACGGCAGCGAUGCCAUGAACAGUAGCUCAGACUACCUGCCCAACUAUUUACUUGCUAUGAGGCCACCAUUGCUGCGGUUGGUGGAGCGGUAUCUCGACUCUACGCCACUCGCGUCUCUUGGCGUGGUAGUGAUGCGAGAUGGGAUUAGCCACCGCCUUCUGCCGUGCACGACGAACCGCAACGAGAUCGUCGACGUGCUGGAGCGCGACGUCUUCCUGCACGGCGGCUCUGGCAGCACGUCAAUGGAGAACGGGCUACGGAUGGCCAUGUCGGAGCUGGUGGACAUGCGCGAGGUAGCGGCCCUGGCGGCAGCGACGGCCAAGAAGUCAUCAUCGUUUGCCGCUCGCAACCCGCGUGCAGCGUGGAAAGGGUCCGCGACGCAGCUCAACGUCAUUGUGUUGACAGCCUCUGUCACGCUGAUUGACCCCACGGAUGUCUUCGCCGUCGUGAACAUCAUGGCCGCCUUGUCCAUCCGCAUCAGUGUCGUUUCUCUCGUCGGUGCUGUACAUGUAUUCGACGUGUGCACCGUCGAAACAGGAGGGACGCUGUAUUGUCCUCUCAACUACGACCACCUGCUGCACAUCAUGGACGAGCUGUCGACAGCCCACCGCGCGCAGGCAGCGAUGGCGCGAAAGAAGAGGCACCAGCGAGGUGGCCGCCAGCAGCGAGUCAAGCGAUGUCGCGAGGAGGAUGUUGAAGGUGUCGAAGUCAACGACGAUGACAGCGAUGGCGCGGAUGCACCGUACCUUAUACCUAUUGGAUGCCCCGUGUAUCUCGAGGCUCCAUUAUCCGACAGCGCAGAACCGUCAUCCGCUGCCUCCUCCCGCUCCUUCUACUUGGGAUGCCCUCAGUGCCACCUCAUUCAACUCACUGUCCCCACAACUUGCUCCAUGUGCCGCCUGCUGCUGUGCAGCGCGCCGAUGCUGUACAGCACGUUUGUGUUGCACAACUGUCUGGUGCCACCGGCAAAGGUGCUCCGCGUGAUGCGGGACGCAUCGCCACCAGCGUCGAAGGCUGCCAACCUGAGCGCUGCAGCAACGGCCACCGUACAGGAGGGCGGCGUCGUCAAGGCGACGAUGCAGCAGCCAAUACGGUGCGGUCUCUGCAUGACCAGCUUCAUAGCAGAGAUGAUGGGGCACACACGCAAUGGCGGAGUCAGCAGCCCCGUCGGCUCAUCAGCGAGGGAAGCCUUGGUGGUGGAUGGAGCGCAGGUGUGGCAGUGCAGCGCAUGUGCCUCGUACCGCUGCAACGCCUGCAACGACUUUGUCCUCCACACGAUCGGCCUCUGUCCGUAUUGCCUGGCGCUGCAGUGAGAGCCUGUGGAUGGCCGGGUAAGUUUCGAGUGCAAGGCAGGCAACGGCGCCAACGCGCAACGAAUCGGCCUUUUAUGCGCUGCGGAGGGAGGGGCGGGGCAAGCCAAAAAGGGAGCGAUGAGCAGAGAUGACGCCGUCUCACCCGCUUCACUGUGCAGCCCUGGCGUGUUGUUUGUCGCGCUCGCGCUCUCCCUGCCUGUCUGUGUGUGUUAACGCUGACAUCGAUAUCGCACAGG
This 1649-nucleotide unclassified non-coding RNA is filed under the name Leishmania donovani. RNAcentral describes it as "gene:LdHU3.24.2160(CDS-product:Ssl1-like_putative )". Lineage: Eukaryota; Euglenozoa; Kinetoplastea; Trypanosomatida; Trypanosomatidae. The record is from RNAcentral.